This 758-nucleotide ribosomal RNA is filed under the name uncultured bacterium. Its description in RNAcentral is "bacterial SSU rRNA". It matches the Rfam family "Bacterial small subunit ribosomal RNA", at positions 693 to 1479 of the family's 1533-position model. The record is from RNAcentral.
GAUAUAACACAGAACACCAAUUGCGAAGGCAGCUUACUGGGAUACAACUGACGCUGAGGCACGAAAGCGUGGGGAUCAAACAGGAUUAGAUACCCUGGUAGUCCACGCAGUAAACGAUGAAUACUAACGUAUGCGAUAUACUGUAUGUGGUAAAGCGAAAGCGUUAAGUAUUCCACCGGGGAGUACGUUCGCAAGAAUGAAACUCAAAGGAAUUGACGGGGGCCCGCACAAGCGGAGGAACAUGUGGUUUAAUUCGAUGAUACGCGAGGAACCUUACCCGGGCUUGAAAUGCAGAGGAAUUACGAGGAAACUUGUAUGCCAGCAAUGGUCUCUGUGUAGUGCUGCAGGUUGUCGUCAGCUCGGCCGUGAGUGUCGGCUUAAGUGCCAUAACGAGCGCAACCCCUAUCAUUGUUACUAACAGGUUAAGCGAGACUCUAGUGGACUGCCACCGUAAGUGUGAGGAAGGUGGGAUGACGUCAAAUCGCACGCCCUUACGUCCGGGCGACACACGGUUACAAUGGGGGGUACAGAGGGUUGCUACUUGGUGACAAGAUGCUAAUCUCUUAAGCCUCUCUCAGUUCGGAUCGAAGUCUGCAACUCGACUUCGUGAAGCUGGAUUCGCUAGUAAUCGCGCAUCAGCCAUGGCGCGGUGAAUACGUUCCCGGGCCUUGUACACACCGCCCGUCAAGCCAUGGAAGCCGAGGGGACCUGAAGUACGUAACCGCAAGGAGCGUCCUAGGGUAAAAUUGGUAACUAGG